GAGAAGAGGAAGCAGAGAAAUAAUGAGAGAGAGAAAGAGAAAGGAAGAAAGGGAAAGAGUGUAAGAGAGAAAGGCCGGGAGGGGGGAAAGGGGGAGAAAGUAAAAAAAAACAAAGAAGGAAAAAAAGAAGAAAAUCUAAAGGCCUCAACAAGCUUAACAUCCCAAGUUGUCAAGUUGGAAUAAUAACCAUAGACCAAUGGAAACCACCAAAAUGCUUUCUCCCCACCCCACCCCCAACCUACCACUACCAUCACCAUCACCACUAUACUCCACUCCUCCACCACCACCAGCCACGCAACCUCCUCUUGUGACACUCUAUACCAGAACAGGCCUCAGGAGCUCUUCACGGCAGCCUUUAACUUCUGCAUUGUCUCCUGACACAUGGCGUUCCCUCGAAAAUCUGCAACGUCAGAGACCCCGAUGAAUUUCGCCGUGAAGAACAAGCCUUUUCCUUCGAAACUGGCCGGAUCUGUUUUAAUCUCUGUAAGUUGGUUUGUUGGUUUGUUGGUUUGUUGGUUAGUGGAUGAAGUCAGUCAGACAAGAAAAGAAGAAAAUAUAUAUAACAAUGAAAACAUGUUUAAAAUGUAAAUGUAAAGAAAUAAUUAAAUAA
Long non-coding RNA from Octopus bimaculoides (California two-spot octopus), 610 nucleotides. NCBI's taxonomy places the organism in Eukaryota, Metazoa, Mollusca, Cephalopoda, Octopoda, Octopodidae. The record is from RefSeq and is a predicted model, not a curated record.